CAUGUGCGUCUACCUCAGUGAGGUGAACAGAGAAGUAAGGAAAAGAACAAACAGCAGGUGGCGCUAUACAGAUACAUUUUAUUGAAUAACUCAGUGGCUAUGCUAAAUGUUUAAUUACAUGCAAUUACAAAAGUAUUCAAAAAUUUGUU
Molecule: long non-coding RNA, 149 nt
Organism: Bufo bufo (common toad)
Lineage: Eukaryota; Metazoa; Chordata; Amphibia; Anura; Bufonidae
Exons: 3
Source: RefSeq, a predicted model, not a curated record